UCAAGCCUUUCCGCUUGGCUUCUUUAACCUAGCAACAGGCAUUUAAGUUUUCUCCGUGUCUUCUCGUGGCUUGGUAUCUCAUUUCUUUUUCAUGCUGCGCAUUCUUUCACUGUCUGCAGGUCCCACAAUUUAUUCAUUCCAUUCACCUCCGGAAGGGCAUCUUGGUGGCUUCCAAUUUUGGCAAUUGUGAGUAAGCUGCUACAAACAUCUGUGUUCAUGUUUCCAUGUGGACAUAUAUGUCGACUCCUUUGGGCAAAUGACAAGGAAGGCAGUUGCUGGAUGGUAUGGUAAGAGCAUGUGUCGUUUUAUAAGGAACUACCAAACCCUCUUCCACAGUGGCUGUGCCAUUUUGCCUUCGCUUCAGCAGUGAAGGAGAGUUCCUGUUGUCCCACAUCACUGCCAGCAUUUGAUGUCAGUGUUCUGGACUUUGGACCUUUUAAGAGCCCUGGGCCUGAACUAACGCCCAACAGAAGGGUGAAGAAGAAAUGGAAAAGCUUAUUGUGGGUAUGCUUCUCCGGGGCACAAAGGCGUGAUUCGCUGUGACAUCUGAUAUUGUGUACCGUGUGAAUGUGUACGUUAGAUCUGGAACAGAAUGCCUGCCUGUAUCCCACUGUCGUGUCUUAAAGCCAUCCUAAGUUAUACAAAAUAAUAGACUCUGAUGAAGGAAACGUGCUUGCACUUUCCCCUGUGCUGUGGUGUGAUGGUUCAUAAUCUUGGGGGGGUGGGGGGCGGACGGAAGUCUUGAGCCCCAGGUGAGAGGAAAACGCACAUUCCCGCACAUAUACUUUACAUUGGCUUUCAGAGGGUUCACGGAACUUCCAGCCCCGAAGACUUUCUCUGAAUUGGUGCUUCACUCCCUACAGACUCAAUCUGACAAACAAAAACGUUCAGGUUUUCUCGCGUCUGGAAAGGAAUUGACCUCUCCUGUGCCUCGCAGUGGUAGGGAAUCGGAGAGAGCCAAGGACGGAUGGCCUGGCGAUGCGACCGCCCGGUCUGGAAAGGCUGGCCCAUGUGUGGAGCGGGUGAGCUAAGGUCGCCUACUAGAACCGGUCCGCUGGGAACACCUGCUAAGCUUGCGAAGGUUGGAGGGACCUACAGAUGAAGAGAUGGGUCCGCCAGCACGGAAGUGAGCGUGUGGAGAGAAGGCAGGGAGGGUUGGGAAUAUUAACGGACCAGCCGGUGAAAAGUGAAAUCGAGAACGUUUGCAGUGGGUCUCUAUGGGCCGCCGGAUGCAGUAACAACAUCGUACGUUCCUGCGUAUGCUCACCUUUUAUUUACAUUUUGGAGGUAUUUUGAGGGGACCCAAGGCGGGAGAAAGCUGAGAAGGCACCUUCCUACACCCCCAUCCGUCUCCCUUCUCAGACCAGAGCCUCCCCCAGAGACUAAAACUACUGACCCCGACGUGAUUUGAACACGCAACCUUCUGAUCUGGAGUCAGACGCGCUACCGUUGCGCCACGAGGUCCCCGAGGGGCCGCGGGGUUUCUUUACCUGUCAACCUGAUCCGUGGAAUCGACUUUUCCGCACCCGGUGAGGACCGCGCGGGUGGAACGCGGGCCCUCCAAUCACUCCCCGACUCUGCGUCCCAGUUGUUUCUACUUGACGGGCCUUCCUUCUCUAUUUCACUCCUGGUUUUCUCCAUCUUUAUAAAAACAAACAAACAAACAAACAAACA
Molecule: long non-coding RNA, 1674 nt
Organism: Neofelis nebulosa (Clouded leopard)
Lineage: Eukaryota; Metazoa; Chordata; Mammalia; Carnivora; Felidae
Exons: 2
Source: RefSeq, a predicted model, not a curated record